RNAcentral lists this long non-coding RNA (2506 nucleotides) under Patiria miniata (bat star). Its description in RNAcentral is "uncharacterized LOC119725914". Lineage: Eukaryota; Metazoa; Echinodermata; Asteroidea; Valvatida; Asterinidae. The record is from RNAcentral.
CACGCAAGAUUGUUGUUGAAACAGCUGUUUUGCUCGCGAAGGUGAACACGUGGCAAAUAUCCGGAUUUCAGCUCCUGAAGUAAUACAAGAAACUGCUGCCCCUUAAAUGUAACUGAAAAUAGGUUAGUCCUCAAAGUGACUUUCUAUUCAGUAUGUCAGAACAAGCUGAUGAAUACGAACAUUACAAUUAUGACCCUCCAAUGCGGGGUGGAGGCGCGGGCGGAAAAGGGCGGACGAAACGUGAAGCAGUGGAUAAGCAACUGUCCAACGAAAACAAACAGCAUGGAACUAAAGAUGCCAGGAAGGUAGAACAACAGAUCACAAAUGCAGAGACGAAACAGAAGGAGAAGAUGAAGAAACAAAACAGCAAGGAAUAAAGAAUAUGGGAGUUCUUUGUGAAAAACAGAGUGUUGUGGCCUAAAUCAGCUCAGGGGAUGAAGUGAGUGUCAACAUUCCACAUUGCCAGGAUCCAACGCUUUCAAGUUUGCGUCUCCAAUAACUCAUUUUCAGUUUGCUCAUUUUAAGUUUUCCAAAUCAAAAAAAUGCUUUUAUACACAGUACAUGUAUGGUAAAACAACAAGUCAUUGAACACUUUGAUCUGAUGUAAUGCUUACAGACAUCUGACUGUGUCUGCAAUGUGGAGGUCUGUUCAUAUUUGGUGUCUGCAAGAGAUGAAUUGGUCAAGUCACUUCUUUCGCUGUGUGAACUGAAACUGUUGCACAUUAAGAUGAAGUACAUAAUGAACUGACCUUCAGAUUCUCUGGCUGCCUUCACAUUAAAUUGACACUGCAUCGAUAAAGCACAGCAUUUUACAUCCCAAUAAACUAACCAGUAAGGAUGGUACUUUUGCAAUACUCUGUAACAUAACAACGUAAAUCAAAAUUAAAUGUCUUAAGCUCAUACUUUAUUUGCCAAAAUGAUUUUGUCAUAUUUUAUUUUCUUUACAAUUUGGGUCAGUUAGGAUGUUGGCAGAAUUUUGACAAGUUUUGUGUAUUUGAUUGACAACUGUAACUCAUUGAUUUCAAUACAUCAGUACUUGUGUGAAGUCGAUUUGAAUUACAAAUUCCAUUGCAAAACAGUCGUACAGCAUUGCACAAUAUUACAAUGAACAGAAGAAAAAAACCAAGGGUGGAGGAUUUAGCAUGUGAUGUGGAUAAAUAAACUUCAACUACAUGAACAUGUAUCUUAGUGUAUGGUAUUUCAAGUUUCACUCCGAAGAAAACUAGAUUUUGAUUUUAAAUUGCUGUUUUUUGUAGCAAUACAAAAGUGAUUCCGUUUUGCAUGAGACAUCGACUGAAGAAAUCAGACCAAUUGUUUAGUUAUGGAAUAAGUACUCUACAAAUUUUGCAAGGUAGACUGGCUCCCGCCCCCUUUUAGUAUUGAUGAUGUUGGGACCGUUUCCAGACCUGAUUUGUUUAAUAAUACCCAAAAGCAACCAAAAAGAAAAUCCUUUUUCCAAGGGUUGCAGAUGCCCAGAAUAGCAAAACAAUAAUUAAUUUACAUGAAACAUUCGAACGUCAAAAUUUGUACAUUUGUUGAAGAGCAUGGACAGUAUAGUUUAAAAUUAAGUUUAUUUAAGUUUUAAGUUUAAAAUAUCACUAAACCUAAUUUUGUCUGACAAAAAUACACUCCAAAAACAUCACAUUGUUCCAAGACACAAAAAAAUGCUGCUACACUUUAACUUCAUGUCAAGGGCCUUGACACAAGUUAUUAUUUGUAGUGUUUUGUGGUAUGCAACUACAUACAUGGUAUACCAUUACUGGACACUGAUAUUGAGAGUACAUGUAGCUAGGAUAUGCCACACUGCAAUACGCUUACAUGCAGAUUGAUGGAGCUGUACACACUACAGUUUUAAACAGGUGUUUUGUGGUGUCGGAGAGUAUUGUGUAGUGAAUAACCUUGAGUGUAUUAAUCAAUGAUGGCAUUUGUUUUGUGAAAGUUACACUUGUUUUGUCAAUUUAGGUUCUCUUGGAGAUGAUUCUUUACAAUAUUGUGCAUCACAAAACAAAGAUUUGUCUGAAGGCCGGUUUAUACUCAUUGCGAACGCCAACUUGUGACGUCAGGGCAAGUUUUUGCGCUGCAAAUUCGCAAAAGUUGAACACAUUUCAACUAAACUGAAUUGAGCAGCAAAUGCUUUGUGACGUCAAAUUUGCAUCGCAUUCGCAUGAAGUAUGAACUGGUUGUGUUGCAAGAGUUUGAAGAAGCUAACUUUAGUUUCUAAAAAAAAAAACAUUGCUAGAUAUUACUUCAGGAAAAAAUAGUUGUGCGACUCAGGAAAAAUCAUCCACAUUGACCAGAUUAGCCAUCACGCCUAUACGUACGCAAGAGAUUUUGUCAAUCAUGAAAUGGUUGACCACAUUGAAAAUAUAUUUGCAUUGAUAACUAUUGUAAUUUCAUCAUUAAUGUAUUAAAAAAUAUCUUGACCUGGCGAUAACAAAAUAUAUGCAUUUUGAAAUGAACUGCCUUGUCAACUGUUUUAUUAAAGAAACCGUCAAUGAAAGUGUCA